GACUCGUCACACUAUCAUUAACUGAAUCCAUAGGUUAAUGAGGCGAACCGGGGGAACUGAAACAUCUAAGUACCCCGAGGAAAAGAAAUCAACCGAGAUUCCCCCAGUAGCGGCGAGCGAACGGGGAGGAGCCCAGAGCCUGAAUCAGCAUGUGUGUUAGUGGAAGCGUCUGGAAAGGCGCGCGAUACAGGGUGACAGCCCCGUACACAAAAGCGCAUGUGCUGUGAGCUCGAUGAGUAGGGCGGGACACGUGGUAUCCUGUCUGAAUAUGGGGGGACCAUCCUCCAAGGCUAAAUACUCCUGACUGACCGAUAGUGAACCAGUACCGUGAGGGAAAGGCGAAAAGAACCCCGGCGAGGGGAGUGAAAAAGAACCUGAAACCGUGUACGUACAAGCAGUGGGAGCACCCUUUGGGGUGUGACUGCGUACCUUUUGUAUAAUGGGUC
Molecule: ribosomal RNA, 446 nt
Filed under: Salmonella enterica subsp. enterica serovar Chester
Lineage: Bacteria; Pseudomonadati; Pseudomonadota; Gammaproteobacteria; Enterobacterales; Enterobacteriaceae
Description: partial 23S ribosomal RNA
Rfam family: Bacterial large subunit ribosomal RNA
Source: RNAcentral